RNAcentral lists this transfer RNA (68 nucleotides) under SAR202 cluster bacterium. Its description in RNAcentral is "tRNA-Met". It matches the Rfam family "tRNA". Rfam says of the family: Transfer RNA (tRNA) molecules are approximately 80 nucleotides in length. Their secondary structure includes four short double-helical elements and three loops (D, anti-codon, and T loops). Further hydrogen bonds mediate the characteristic L-shaped molecular structure. tRNAs have two regions of fundamental functional importance: the anti-codon, which is responsible for specific mRNA codon recognition, and the 3' end, to which the tRNAs corresponding amino acid is attached (by aminoacyl-tRNA synthetases). tRNAs cope with the degeneracy of the genetic code in two manners: having more than one tRNA (with a specific anti-codon) for a particular amino acid; and 'wobble' base-pairing, i.e. permitting non-standard base-pairing at the 3rd anti-codon position. Lineage: Bacteria; Bacillati; Chloroflexota; Dehalococcoidia. The record is from RNAcentral.
UGGAGCAGUGGCAGCUCGUCGGGCUCAUAACCCGAAGGUCGUAGGUUCGAAUCCUACCCCCGCUACCA